CCCGGGCCUUGUACACACCGCCCGUCACACCACGAAAGCUGGUUGAACCAGGAAGCCGGCGACCCAACCCGCAAGGGAGGGAGCCGUCCAAGGUUUGGCUAGGUGAUUGGGGUG
Molecule: ribosomal RNA, 114 nt
Filed under: uncultured bacterium
Lineage: Bacteria
Description: partial 16S ribosomal RNA
Rfam family: Bacterial small subunit ribosomal RNA
Source: RNAcentral